CUUUGGUGCUAUAGACAGCAUGUCAGUCUCACAAGCUGAAGGUCUUGAGUUCGAUCCUCAUAAG
This 64-nucleotide transfer RNA is filed under the name Monodelphis domestica (gray short-tailed opossum). It matches the Rfam family "tRNA", at positions 5 to 66 of the family's 71-position model. Rfam says of the family: Transfer RNA (tRNA) molecules are approximately 80 nucleotides in length. The record is from Rfam by way of RNAcentral. Lineage: Eukaryota; Metazoa; Chordata; Mammalia; Didelphimorphia; Didelphidae.